GUUGCAGCCGGGAAGCCAGCGAGGUCGGUUCCGCCCGACUCUAACAUGGCGGCGCCCUUUGUCUGCUCUGAAGUGCCGUCCCCGGCCUUCUCGCGGCCGUGAUGCACCUCCCUCUGCAGUGGGGUCCGGGACAUGGCAGGUAAUGAGCUGGAGGAGGGGAGCCAAGCUGGAGUAUAUGCGCACAAACUGUCAGCAAAGAGUAGCCUGGGCUAUUUGGAAAUCUGAGGUAUGUCUGUAAUACUGAAGGAUGAAACAAAUGGGGAGGUCUGUUUGUCUGUUCUUUGCUA
RNAcentral lists this long non-coding RNA (287 nucleotides) under Dasypus novemcinctus (nine-banded armadillo). Its description in RNAcentral is "lncRNA (ENSDNOG00000051284.1)". The record is from RNAcentral. Lineage: Eukaryota; Metazoa; Chordata; Mammalia; Cingulata; Dasypodidae.